Molecule: ribosomal RNA, 531 nt
Filed under: Triticum aestivum (bread wheat)
Lineage: Eukaryota; Viridiplantae; Streptophyta; Magnoliopsida; Poales; Poaceae
Description: partial small subunit ribosomal RNA
Source: RNAcentral
AUGUGCGCCAUGAGCAAGGCGCCGGAUGGCGUCAGGAAGGCAGUGUGGGGGUGCCCUGCUCGCCCGAAGGUACGGGUAUUUGCAUGCAGGGUUGCGACAAAUUCUUUGGCUAAACCUGAUAAUAAAUGUAAACAUACACUUGAGGUGUCAGAGGACCCCAAGCAGGAGAUGAAGUGGAGAGUGUUUCGCUCCCGCCGCCGCAAGCCUGCUGGUCUGACGGAGUUCGUCGUCGGCGCCGUGAUGCGCCUCCCGGUGCCUAUUCCUACGGUGCCUGCUCCAGCGGUGAAGGAGGAGGCGUUGGGGGAUCUGGUGGCCAGCACAGCAGAGAUGGGAGUGAAGCCUGGUGCAAGGAAGAACAAGGCGAAGAUGCCGCUGGUGAUAAGGAGAUCCCCAUGCUUCUCCCGUCGUUCGCCGCGUCUGCUCAGCCUCGCUCGCCUCCAGCAGGGAUGGGAGUCUCGCCGGCGGGCAGCCGCUUCUGGCUGCUCGCUGGUGAGGACUCUAACGGGGAUGCUGGGACCUCGUCAGAUCUAG